This 1147-nucleotide ribosomal RNA is filed under the name Bacillus licheniformis. RNAcentral describes it as "bacterial LSU rRNA". It matches the Rfam family "Bacterial large subunit ribosomal RNA", at positions 322 to 1471 of the family's 2925-position model. Lineage: Bacteria; Bacillati; Bacillota; Bacilli; Caryophanales; Bacillaceae. The record is from RNAcentral.
GAACGAGGUAGAUGAAGAGGUCUGGAAAGGCCCGCCAUAGGAGGUAACAGCCCUGUAGUCAAAACUUCGUUCUCUCCUGAGUGGAUCCUGAGUACGGCGGAACACGUGAAAUUCCGUCGGAAUCCGGGAGGACCAUCUCCCAAGGCUAAAUACUCCCUAGUGACCGAUAGUGAACCAGUACCGUGAGGGAAAGGUGAAAAGCACCCCGGAAGGGGAGUGAAAGAGAUCCUGAAACCGUGUGCCUACAAGUAGUCAGAGCCCGUUAACGGGUGAUGGCGUGCCUUUUGUAGAAUGAACCGGCGAGUUACGAUCCCGUGCAAGGUUAAGUUUGAAAAGACGGAGCCGCAGCGAAAGCGAGUCUGAAUAGGGCGCAUGAGUACGUGGUCGUAGACCCGAAACCAGGUGAUCUACCCAUGUCCAGGGUGAAGUUCAGGUAACACUGAAUGGAGGCCCGAACCCACGCACGUUGAAAAGUGCGGGGAUGAGGUGUGGGUAGGGGUGAAAUGCCAAUCGAACCUGGAGAUAGCUGGUUCUCUCCGAAAUAGCUUUAGGGCUAGCCUCAAGGUAAGAGUCUUGGAGGUAGAGCACUGAUUGGACUAGGGGCCCCUACCGGGUUACCGAAUUCAGUCAAACUCCGAAUGCCAAAGACUUAUCCUUGGGAGUCAGACUGCGAGUGAUAAGAUCCGUAGUCGAAAGGGAAACAGCCCAGACCGCCAGCUAAGGUCCCAAAGUAUACGUUAAGUGGAAAAGGAUGUGGAGUUGCUUAGACAACCAGGAUGUUGGCUUAGAAGCAGCCACCAUUUAAAGAGUGCGUAAUAGCUCACUGGUCGAGUGACUCUGCGCCGAAAAUGUACCGGGGCUAAACGUAUCACCGAAGCUGCGGACUGUUCUUGCGAACAGUGGUAGGAGAGCGUUCUAAGGGCUGUGAAGCGAGACCGGAAGGACUCGUGGAGCGCUUAGAAGUGAGAAUGCCGGUAUGAGUAGCGAAAGAGGGGUGAGAAUCCCCUCCACCGAAUGCCUAAGGUUUCCUGAGGAAGGCUCGUCCGCUCAGGGUUAGUCGGGACCUAAGCCGAGGCCGAAAGGCGUAGGCGAUGGACAACAGGUUGAUAUUCCUGUACCACCUCCUCACCAUUUGAGCAAUGGGGGG